Long non-coding RNA from Cyprinus carpio (common carp), 554 nucleotides. RefSeq lists it as uncharacterized. NCBI's taxonomy places the organism in Eukaryota, Metazoa, Chordata, Actinopteri, Cypriniformes, Cyprinidae. The transcript is spliced from 3 exons. The record is from RefSeq and is a predicted model, not a curated record.
CAGUAAUUCAGACUGUGGAGCUAGGGAUUGAAGAGCCUGUGCAGCACCCAUUUGUGCCUUCUGUUGGCGGUUCUGUGGUUUUUACCUUGUUCUUCUAAAAAAUCUCAGCUUCCAGCUGAAGACAUUACAGUGCACUGGAGAUACAACGAGAACCUGGAAGUGUAUGACAUUAUUAAGGGCAAAGUCUCUCUGGAAAAACAGCAUUCAGCAUAUUACAACAGAACUGAGAUUUUCAGUGAGAAGUAUCUGGAUGGAAACUUCUCCCUCAAAUUAAACAACGUUCAGCGCAGCGAUACAGGAACCUACAAAUGCCACAUCGCAAAUGAAUUACUAAUUCAAAGUGUGAAACUAGAAUUUAACCAAGGAGCACAAGCAAGACCAGCAGAAGAUUUUAUCUAGUGCCUUUACUUUCUGUUUCCAUUCUGCUCUGUAUGUGAGUAUCGAGAGGAGCAAUCAUUUGUCUACAGUAUUGAAACAGUUUAUGAAAAUUAUUCAUAUCGGAGCAUUGUCAGCUCACCCCAUACACUAAUAAAAAUAAAAGUGAUGCCAAAUAA